AACGCACCUUGCGCCCCGUGGCUUUCCACGGGGCACGCCCGUUCGAGUGUCACGUCAACCUUCGCCAACCCGAUAGCAAUAUCGGGAGAAGCGGACUUGGACGCUGCCGGUCGCGAGAUCGGCUCGUUUCGAAAUGCAUUAGCGGAGUGAAGGCGCGAGCGCGACGUUGAUAAUCGUCCACGCCUCGCGAGCGUCUGACCUCGCUUCCAAUCGCCGUGAGGCAAUUUAUCCGAGUUUGACCUCGAAUCGGGUGGGACUACCCGCUGAACUUAA
RNAcentral lists this unclassified non-coding RNA (273 nucleotides) under uncultured fungus. Its description in RNAcentral is "partial contains 5.8S ribosomal RNA, internal transcribed spacer 2, and large subunit ribosomal RNA". Lineage: Eukaryota; Fungi. The record is from RNAcentral.